RNAcentral lists this unclassified non-coding RNA (2778 nucleotides) under Hevea brasiliensis (rubber tree). The record is from RNAcentral. Lineage: Eukaryota; Viridiplantae; Streptophyta; Magnoliopsida; Malpighiales; Euphorbiaceae.
GGUUGAGAUGCUUGAAUUAUCUGGACUAGUUGAUGACAUUGUGCACUGCACUGAACUUGAGCUUGUACCUGAAGCUGUUGAUGCUGCCCUCCAGACUAUUGCACAUGUUUCCGUAUCCUCUGGAUUGCAAGAUGCCUUAUUGAAGGCAGGUGUGCUUUGGUACCUCUUGCCAUUAUUGCUUCAGUAUGACUCAACAGCUGAAGAAUCUGACAAGAUGGAGUCGCAUGGUGUUGGUUCUAGUGUUCAAAUUGCCAAAAAUAUGCAUGCUGUUCGAGCAUCUCAGGCAUUGUCUAGACUUAGUGGUCUGUGCACUGAUGGGAGUUCAACACCUUAUAAUGCUGCUGCUGCUGAUGCGCUUCGAGCUUUGCUAACUCCUAAACUUGCAAGCAUGUUGAAACACCAAUUACCAAAAGACUUGCUAUCCAAAUUAAACACGAAUUUGGAGUCUCCAGAGAUUAUAUGGAACUCUUCAACACGAGCAGAACUAUUGAAAUUUGUUGAUAAGCAACGUGCUAGUGUGGGGCCUGAUGGUUCAUAUGACUUGAAUGAUUCACAAAUCUUUUCAUAUGAAGCACUAUCGAAAGAAAUUUUUGUUGGUGAUGUUUACUUGAGGGUCUAUAAUGAUCAGCCGGAUUUUGAGAUUAGUGAACCAGAAGCAUUUUGUGUUGCUCUAAUUGAUUUCAUAUCAUUUCUAGUUCGCAACCAAUAUCCUGUAGUUUCUGAUGCUCAAAGUAAACUUAGUUCCAGUAUCUCCUCACCUGAGACAUCAGAGAUCCAAAAUGAUACCACUGAUGUAUCUAUAAAUGGAUAUGCGCCUGAUGAUUCAUCAGCAGUCUCAGAUGGAAAAUCAUCAGACGAUGAAGAGUUGAAACUGGUCAAAAACCUUAAAUUGGGAUUGACUGCACUUAAGAACUUGCUGACGAGUAAUCCAAAUUUGGCAUCUGUAUUUUCUUCCAAAGAGAAGCUCCUACCUCUCUUUGAAUGCCUUUCUGUGCCCAUUGCAUCAGACAGCAACAUUCUUCAACUCUGCCUUGUUGUUCUUUCUCUCUUGACCACAUAUGCUCCUUGCUUGGAGGCUAUGGUUGCAGAUGGAUCUAGUCUCCUUUUACUUCAAAUGCUUCGCUCUGCUCCAAGUUGCCGUGAAGAGGCACUUCAUGUUCUUUAUGCUUUGGCAAGCACUCCAGAACUUGCUUGGGCAGCUGCCAAGCAUGGGGGAGUGGUGUACAUUCUGGAACUUCUUUUGCCUUUGCAAAAAGAUAUUCCGUUACAGCAGAGAGCGGCAGCAGCCUCAUUAUUGGGGAAGCUUGUUGGGCAGCCAAUGCAUGGACCCAGAGUUGCUAUUACAUUGGCAAGAUUUCUUCCAGAUGGCUUGGUAUCAGUUAUUAGGGAUGGCCCUGGUGAGGCUGUUGUAUCUGUGAUUGAACAGACAACAGAAACACCAGAGCUUGUUUGGACCCCUGCAAUGGCAGCAUCUUUGUCUGCUCAAAUUGCUACAAUGGCAUCAGACUUGUACCGUGAACAGAUGAAAGGCCGUGUUGUUGAUUGGGAUGUUCCAGAGCAGGCAUCUGGACAACAGGAAAUGCGAGAUGAGCCACAGGUUGGUGGAAUCUACGUUAGGCUGUUUCUUAAGGAUCCUAAGUUUCCUCUUAGAAAUCCAAAGAGAUUCUUGGAAGGGCUACUGGAUCAAUAUUUGUCCUCCAUUGCUGCCACACAUUAUGACACACAACCUAUGGAUCCUGAGCUUCCUUUACUUCUUUCUGCUGCUUUGGUUUCAUUAUUGCGAGUGCACCCUGCACUUGCAGAUCAUGUUGGGUAUCUUGGAUAUGUGCCCAAACUUGUAGCUGCUGUAGCAUAUGAGGCAAGGCGAGAAACGAUGUCAUCAGAGGAGGUGAAACACGGCAACUAUGCUGGAAAAACAUAUGAAUCUGAUGAUGGCUCUACUCCGCCUGCACAAACUCCACAGGAACGUGUGCGCCUUAGUUGUUUGCGUGUCCUACAUCAACUUGCUGCGAGUACGAUAUGUGCUGAGGCCAUGGCUGCAACUAGCGUAGGAACACCUCAGGUUGUUCCACUUCUAAUGAAAGCUAUAGGAUGGCAAGGUGGAAGCAUACUUGCUCUUGAGACACUAAAACGUGUUGUAGUUGCUGGAAAUCGUGCACGGGAUGCACUAGUUGCACAAGGACUUAAAGUUGGCCUUGUGGAAGUACUUCUUGGCAUUCUUGAUUGGAGAGCUGGUGGAAGGAAUGGACUAUGCUCUCAGAUGAAUUGGAAUGAAUCAGAAGCAUCUAUCGGCAGAGUACUUGCAAUUGAGGUUUUGCAUGCAUUUGCAACGGAAGGAGCACAUUGUAAUAAAGCGCGUGAGAUAUUAAACGCCUCUGAUGUCUGGAGCGCUUAUAAAGACCAGAAACAUGAUCUCUUCCUUCCUUCAAGUGCCCAAUCUGCUGCUGCAGGGGUUGCUGGUUUAAUCGAGAAUUCUUCGUCUAGGCUGACAUAUGCCCUGACAGCUCCACCGUCGCAACCUGGUCAAGCAAGACCGCCUGCACCUACAACAUUUAACUCGAAUGGCAAGCAGGAUCUGUUCUCAUAGGAGCGGAAGAAUUAAUUGACUCAGUAGUUUAGAAAGCGUUAUACCUAUCUCAUCCGUAUAGUCUACUGUACAGCUUUGUUACCUUUUUAAUUCACUUACAUGCACACCUGGGGCUUGAGUUUGACAACUGAGGCAGCAUUUGCAAUUUUUCCAGAAAAUUUAAGGGGAAUUAUUUUUCAUGUAUAGGGCUA